GCCAAUGCCCGACAAGAAGUUGGGGUGAAGGAGAAGGGCAGUUCAGUUGCUUCCAGUGCUAAACGAAAUGUUGUGUCUGAUAAUUCAGGUAGUGCAGAUAAAGGAUCAGAUGAAAGUAGCACAACUACUUCUGCUCCAGAUUCCGAAUCAGAGGCUAAGCCAGUUUUAUCUGAUGUGCCCAGCAACACAACCCCGAUCAGUUCAGAAGAUUCUGGUUGUGAUCUGUACCAUGGAAU
This 236-nucleotide unclassified non-coding RNA is filed under the name Hevea brasiliensis (rubber tree). The record is from RNAcentral. Lineage: Eukaryota; Viridiplantae; Streptophyta; Magnoliopsida; Malpighiales; Euphorbiaceae.